Molecule: small nuclear RNA, 19 nt
Filed under: Arabidopsis thaliana (thale cress)
Lineage: Eukaryota; Viridiplantae; Streptophyta; Magnoliopsida; Brassicales; Brassicaceae
Description: snRNA_11185
Source: RNAcentral
CCUCCCGGGAAGUCCUCGU